AUGCCAACCGAGAAAAAUAAUGACAAGAGGGCCUGUGUAACGCACAACUUGCAGCUCUGCCGUUAUAUAAGAAGGAGCCACCAUGGCCGCCUCAGUACAAACGCCUUGUGUCCUCUCACCUCUAGUGUCCUCCCUCGCCAAGAACCCGCCGCCGCCGUCGCCUCCCGGCCUCCGCUUCUAAGCCUCGAGGUCUCCGGCGUCAACCGAAGCAGCAGCGACAUGAAGCGCCUGCUCAGGCGGCUCUCCCGCGUUGCCGCGGCCGACGCCUGCGCAUCCGCCGCGUACCAGCCGCUUCGGCCCGACGCUGCGGCGAAGGGCUCCUCCGCAGUCUCCUCUCCCUCGUCCUCAUUCUUCGGCGCGCGGAGGCUCGGCAAGGGCGCGCGGGUGCCGGAGGGGUACGUGCCGGUGUGCGUCGGAGAGGAGGGCGGCCCCGAGGAGCGCUUCGCCGUGCGGGCCGAGCUCCUGGGCCAGCCGGCGUUCAAGGCCCUGCUCCGGCGCGCCGCGCAGGAGUACGGCUACGGCCACCCAGGCGCGCUCCGCAUCCCCUGCGCCGCCGCCGACUUCCGCCGCCUCCUCCUCGGCCUCUCCGACCCCGGCUCCCAGGCCACCGACGACGACGACUCCGCGCUCUACUACUAG
Molecule: ribosomal RNA, 639 nt
Filed under: Triticum aestivum (bread wheat)
Lineage: Eukaryota; Viridiplantae; Streptophyta; Magnoliopsida; Poales; Poaceae
Description: partial small subunit ribosomal RNA
Source: RNAcentral